Molecule: ribosomal RNA, 459 nt
Filed under: uncultured bacterium
Lineage: Bacteria
Description: partial 16S ribosomal RNA
Rfam family: Bacterial small subunit ribosomal RNA
Source: RNAcentral
CCUACGGGUGGCAGCAGUGAGGAAUAUUGGUCAAUGGACGAGAGUCUGAACCAGCCAAGUAGCGUGAAGGAUGACUGCCCUAUGGGUUGUAAACUUCUUUUAUAUGGGAAUAAAACGUUCCACGUGUGGGAUUUUGUAUGUACCAUAUGAAUAAGGAUCGGCUAACUCCGUGCCAGCAGCCGCGGUAAUACGGAGGAUCCGAGCGUUAUCCGGAUUUAUUGGGUUUAAAGGGAGCGUAGGUGGAUUGUUAAGUCAGUUGUGAAAGUUUGCGGCUCAACCGUAAAAUUGCAGUUGAAACUGGCAGUCUUGAGUACAGUAGAGGUGGGCGGAAGUCGGGGUGUAGCGGUGAAAUGCUUAGAUAUCACGAAGAACUCCGAUUGCGAAGGCAGUUCACUGGACUGCAACUGACACUGAGGCUCGAAAGUGUGGGUAUCAAACAGGAGUAGAUACCCCGUAGUC